UGCAGAUGUUAACUACCUAGUAUAGAAAAUUCUUAUUCUUCUACGAUCACCAAAUCUAGUAUAGAUUAUUUAUAUUUAUAGACUCGGAACAUAUCAAAUCCCACGCGAACAUAUUUUUUUUCAUCUCACAAGACCUCCUCGCUAUAAACUUCCCUCCAUGAAACCGUUCCUUGGCAUAUGAAAGUCUUAUUUUCCCUUACAAUUUAUGAGCACAGCAUUCUACUUUUCAGGCGCAGGUCCCACAUGUAACAUGAGUGGAUUGUCAGUUGGCUAGUAAAGCAACGGGAUUGGUUUCUGCACGCGUACACGCAUGUAAACGGAAUAAGUUCUGGUUUCUGAUUACAUUUAAGUAGAAUCUCACCCCAACUGCAUACCAAUACUUGUAUUAAUUUGUAGGCGAGAAGCAGCACAGACGGAAAAAUCUGAAACCCAAGAUUAACAUUCUCAUAGUUUCUCUGGGUAUCCAUCGGUAUGUCAGAAAGCAAACCCUCCAUGAACAGCAGUCGAUGGUUAUAUGGCACAAAAGUUGGUGGGAAAGAAGCCCAAAAAUCAGAUCUAGGUAAGUCAGAAAGCAAAGCCAUGGUGAGCACCAAUCGCAGAUCUUGGUCAGAUGAGGGAAGGGAUUCCCAUAAAUCAGAUUUUGGGAAAUCAUGUAGCGUAGCGUCAAUGCAGGGUAAACUUGUUUCCAGGCGCCUCUGUAGUAGGUUAUUUCGAACGAUGGCUCAGCUCAAGUGGAGAGGAGAAUCCUAUAACAUAUCUAUAGACUGUGAUACCAGCGAAUGGAAGAUGUUAAUUAAGGUGGAAAGCAGGGUGGCUGUAAAUGUGGAGCACUUGGUUUGGAAUUUCAGAGGGAUUAAGAAAUUUGAUACAGGUUCAGUAAGUGACCCAGUUGAAUUUGAAGUAGUUUGGGAUGUUGAGGAUUGGCUAUUUGAUAAACCCAUGACGGGGCAAGCCAUUUUUAUGUUCAGGAACGUGAGUCCUUGUUCACCUCCUCAAGCAUCCAUUGCAGAUUUUACUGCUUCAUGUGACAUACAAGGUGAUCCACUUGUGGUUUACGCUUGGAAACAAGAAGAUCAGAUUGAAUAAUUGAGAUGGCGCAUUUCGCCAAGGGUUUUUAUUAUUUUUAUGUUUUACUAUUUUUUUUUUUUUUAACAUUUCUUUGUAUACCCUUUGAUUUGAAAUUCUGUUUUAACUUUUUGUACCGGCAUAUUGAACUAUCUAUGCACUCCAUUCUUUUUCCAAGCAACUUCUAGGGUGUAUUCUUAUUUUUCAAAAACAUAUUGCUAAAAUUAUUGGUGGCUCUAUAUGAGCGUUGUAUUAAAGUCCCCAUCGCUAUAUUUCGAUAUAGCAAGACAAUCAAACUGCUCCUAAUAACCUCAAAAAUGGAGUUCUAAUAAAAGGCUGCAGCAUCCACAAGCUGAAUGAUUCAGAUUGUAUCAAUGGUUCGAGUUUCAUGGUCUUUAUGAGAGAUGCACAAGAGGAGGAAAGCUUAGCAUCAUAAGCACUACCACCACUCAAGAGUCAACCUUUAAUCCCCUGCCCAUAAGACUACUAUGAGUAUGAGUGAAGAGAAUAAGUCUGAGAGGGGUAGUAAAAUAGCCUUGUGGGAUCAACACUCACAUUUCAACCGUUUAUACAUCCUUCUCUAGGGUUUUUUUUGUGCAAGAGUACUUAUGAAAGCCGUCAAUAUCUUUCGUUGUUGUACUCCAUCUCAAGGUUUGUAUGUUUCGUGAUUAUGAGAUGAUGAUUCCACUCCAAAUAAGGCUUCUACUUUGGGUGGAAUUUGUGAACUGCAGAUUAGUUGUCUAAGUUUCUUCUAUUAUCACACAAAGGACAUCAAGCAUCAAUUGAAAAUCUUAAUUUCGGACAAAAAAAAAAAUGAAAGGAAAAGAAUGUCAAGGCUCGGCAUCAUUGUUAUCAUGUUUUUUAGUAUGUUAGGUUACAUCAAGCAUCAAUUGAAAAUCUUAAUUUCGGACAAAAAAAAAAAAAUGAAAGGAAAAGAAUGUCAAGGCUCGGCAUCAUUGUUAUCAUGUUUUUUAGUAUGUUAGGUUCAUCCUUUCAUUCCGGCUAGUCACAAUCUAAAAAAAGUGGAAGAUGUAUGCUUAAAUAGGCUAGGAUUUUUCAGGAAUAUGAGUUAUCCAUGUAGUUAUCUUUGUCCGUUUGGAACAGCCAAAGGGUUGAAAAAAUAUGGUGGAGCUGCAUCUAAGUUGUUGUAUUAAAUAAGGUCAAAAACUAAUUUUGACUACUUUCCAGCAACUAUUUAGAAAUCUUUCGGUAAUAAUUUUUUCUUUUGA
This is a long non-coding RNA of Cryptomeria japonica (Japanese cedar), 2294 nucleotides long. RefSeq lists it as uncharacterized. Lineage: Eukaryota; Viridiplantae; Streptophyta; Pinopsida; Cupressales; Cupressaceae. The record is from RefSeq and is a predicted model, not a curated record. The transcript has 2 exons.